This 584-nucleotide ribosomal RNA is filed under the name Pseudomonas sp. StFRB316. RNAcentral's name for it is "bacterial SSU rRNA". It matches the Rfam family "Bacterial small subunit ribosomal RNA", at positions 102 to 682 of the family's 1533-position model. Lineage: Bacteria; Pseudomonadati; Pseudomonadota; Gammaproteobacteria; Pseudomonadales; Pseudomonadaceae. The record is from RNAcentral.
ACGGGUGAGUAAUGCCUAGGAAUCUGCCUGGUAGUGGGGGAUAACGCUCGGAAACGGACGCUAAUACCGCAUACGUCCUACGGGAGAAAGCAGGGGACCUUCGGGCCUUGCGCUAUCAGAUGAGCCUAGGUCGGAUUAGCUAGUUGGUGGGGUAAUGGCUCACCAAGGCGACGAUCCGUAACUGGUCUGAGAGGAUGAUCAGUCACACUGGAACUGAGACACGGUCCAGACUCCUACGGGAGGCAGCAGUGGGGAAUAUUGGACAAUGGGCGAAAGCCUGAUCCAGCCAUGCCGCGUGUGUGAAGAAGGUCUUCGGAUUGUAAAGCACUUUAAGUUGGGAGGAAGGGCAUUAACCUAAUACGUUAGUGUUUUGACGUUACCGACAGAAUAAGCACCGGCUAACUCUGUGCCAGCAGCCGCGGUAAUACAGAGGGUGCAAGCGUUAAUCGGAAUUACUGGGCGUAAAGCGCGCGUAGGUGGUUCGUUAAGUUGGAUGUGAAAUCCCCGGGCUCAACCUGGGAACUGCAUUCAAAACUGUCGAGCUAGAGUAUGGUAGAGGGUGGUGGAAUUUCCUGUGUAGCGGU